RNAcentral lists this small RNA (3414 nucleotides) under Histoplasma capsulatum var. duboisii H88. RNAcentral's name for it is "Histoplasma capsulatum H88 hypothetical RNA". The record is from RNAcentral. Lineage: Eukaryota; Fungi; Ascomycota; Eurotiomycetes; Onygenales; Ajellomycetaceae.
GUGCCAUGGAAAGCGCACAUAUGUGCGAUAUCGACCGCUCCUGGGGAUUUGAGUUCUGGUUUUAUAGGUUUGCUGGUAUCGCCAAUUGUUUGGUUUUAUUUCAUUAUAUUUUUCUAAGUUUUUAUUUUAUUCUUUGUCUAUCUAUGUGCGUGCGUGUGUGUGUAUAUCGAUAUCUACUUGUAUAAUUUAUGUUUUGAAUUCGCUUUGAAACUGGACCUGACCUGUCCUUGGUUUGGAUACAAGUUUUGUUCGCGGUGCACGCGAACCAUGUUUCCACGAUCGAUACAGACAAGCUGUUCUCAAUUGGAGGUUUUAUUUUGUCCUCUCCUCUUGUUCUCUACUUUUUAAAUACGGUGGGCCUACCUUGAUAUUUCUCCCACAUAAGAGGAUUUGAUGCCAAAUAUCCGGAGUAUUGGUAUUCCAGCCAAUUGGAGUGGUGUAAGUCACAUGAUUCGGCGAUAUGAAGAUCCGAGUAUCCCACAUAGAGUUAACCAAUAAUAUCAAGCUUAUAUAUCAUCAAAAAGAAAAAAAAAGAAAAAAAAAAGGUUUAGCUGCGAACUCGUCGAAAAAACAAAAUAAACACUCGGAAUGUGGCCGUAAGGCGAAGGUGAGAAGGAGACGCGCUGUAGAUGUGGGAGGAUGUGUCAUCUAACUUAACUAUCUCUAACUAGUUAACUAACUAACUAUCAGAUCUAGCCGGCAAAAUCAUCAAAUCCAUCCAUCACCAAUUAAACCCAAUCUGAGAUGCGCAGUAUCCAUUUUUGGCUUCAGUAUUGGAUGGUACCGUUACAGCAUGAUAUUUAGAAUUUUGAAGCAGAACCAUGGGCCGUGGGGUGGUGGAUUCCCAAAAAUUACCUUUAAUUUACCAGGCGAGAUAAAGGCCUUUCAGAUAACAAUGAACUGAUCAGAGAUGGGUUUUCUUCAACAUCUAUUAUUAUUCAAGAUAUCAACCUCAAGUACUAUAGAAAGAAAUGUACUCCGAAGGAAAGAAAUAAAAGGGACCACAAAACUUAGCCUUGGUAGACAGGGCCUGGUCCAAGUACUGCUUGAUCAAUUCCCUGCCUAUCAACCCAGCAGGUACAUGUACAGUACAAUAUAUUAACAGCUGUCAAUAAAAGUACUCGACUUCAAUUUCAGCCACUCAACUUUUCAACAAAAGGUGAGAGAAAAAAUAAACAGAACAAUACCCUGCUACGCGUAGUGUUUUGUCCAGUGUGGAAAGCCUGAAAAUGCGCUCCCCGCAGGUACCAAAUUUAACCAUUAUUGACACUCCUCUGGGCUACGCUUGGCACAUGUAAUCAUCAACCCAUCCACAAAAUCGAAUCAAAACACGAUUUGGAUAAAAACAACUGAAGGCGUUGUUUGUAGUGCUUUUUGCUUUUUUGUUUUUGUUUUUGUUUUUUUUUUUUAAAUCGCUCCUAGCAAACAUCCUUAAUGAAUUGCUUGUCCCAUCGAGAUCAUGUACGUCACAGUGAGUGUAAACGCGCAGAAUAGAGGGGGAAACGGGAGAGGGAUUAACUUCAUCAGACUAGCAAAACGGAGAAUAGGAAAGCUAUUGCAAGCAGCAGGGAUAAUCCCGGACAAGCGCCAUGAGCAAUUGUAUUGCUCGUCAAUACGUAGUCCAUUUUUUCCUCCUUGUUGGGCACAACUAGAUAAGUGAUAGAAGGGAUUCGGGCCACAAAACUACCCCUAGAUUACUAAGAAGGUUCAUAAUACUACUUCCCGAUAACGCAGUGGUAAAAGCAGGAACUUUCUCUUGGCUACUAGUUCCCGCGUCUCGUUAGGCUGCGCAGAAUAUGUGGACCCAUGGUAAAAUGGUAAAAAUUCCUCAGGAGAAAUCCUCGGCAAUGUCCGCGCCAGGGUUUCGUGUUAUCAAAUAAGACCUCACGGCUUUUGUAUCCAAUAGUUGUAAUUUCUGUUAUCAAAGGUGUCAUUGUUAGCCUAGAGCACACAAUAAUGGGCACACUGUGCAAAGGAGAUAUUGACGGGGAAGAACAAUGGCAGGUCGCGAAAACAUUGGUUACCAUUGCUUCUAUAUCACGAAGCCCGGCUUCUAGGAGUUCUCCCUCCAAUUUUCGAAGCUUAAGGGCUGUUUGCCAUACGGACUGCCGAAUCACCCUUCCGUCAACAUAUUCAAGCCAUCGCUGCACAUACUCGUCGUUCGAACGCAGUUGGGCCAGCUGACCCUGCAUCCGGUCUUGCAAGAUGACAACUGCCCGGAGCUGAAAGACUCCCCACAUCCGGUCCGCUUUGAGCUGGUCAAGCAGCGAUUCCGAAGAAGUAACGUUAGUUCCUUUCCACGAAACCUUGAGCUCUCGCUCUCCUUGGUUUGAUUGAACUACACGGAAUUCCAGGCCAUCUUCUUCGUUAACGCAACACCACCAGACAAAUGAGCUUUCCCAAUCAGUCACAUCAGAGCCAGGCGCGAUAAAGAGGCGAAAGCCUGGUGUCGUAUUGCAGACUGCUAUUUUUGCAGGCCGCAAUGGGUCAUCAGCGGGAAUGUCAAGGUCAAGGAAUAGCUGACGUGCAUUCGUCGAGCUACUAUCGAGAAAUCCGUACGAGAAUACCAUCUCGGAAGCACCCUUUUCGUCACCAUAUCUAUAGUUGCGCGGAUUGAAAGUUAGUCCAAUUGUCGACCUUCGUGUCCACAGUCACAUUAUCUAGCUUCAAGCAUACGUGAUAGUUAUUUCGUCGCCCACCUCUAAUCCUUGUCCGCGGCGCAGUUGCAAAACAGCGUUUCCAUUUUCAUCAGUCUCAUACAAGGCGCUGGGCCGACCACCGGAGGCGUGAUUUACCAUAUCAAUACACGGGACCAUGGAAUGACCCUUGCUUGGAAAUUCAAGAGCUCGCGAUCUAUACAUGGCAUCGACUAACUUCCAAUCCUCGAAGUGCCACGUAGAAGUUCGCGCUCCUCAAUGGUGUAUAAGGUUGGAAGGGAAUACGAGACCGGGAGAAAUUUUAUGUAUUCUGUCCAAGCAUUGGAUACCUUAAUGUGCUCCUUUGACGAUAAAUCCGGAUCGGAGUAGGAAAUGUGGACCAGGAGGAAAAGUAAUAUGGCACCUCGAGCUGUCUACACAUAUCAGAAAUUGAAAUAUACAUCUACGGCCGAGGAAGCGGCAUUGCCGUGCCAGUGAAAGAAUACACACCAUUGCAUAAUCCCUCAUAGAAUCCAGCACCUCAUUCAAAUGCCUAUCUGUUUUGGCGCAUGUUUCCACUAACUCUCGUGAAAGUAAAAGCUCACGUGGAAUAGUCAUGAGAACUUGCGGCUCAAUUUCGGCUUCCGGAUCGAGCUCCCGGGCUGAUUUCUUUGCAGUCGCAACUAUCCCGCAUCCCUUGUCAACCCCAUCCUUGGCCUGUAGCUGUGUCACCUCGACAUCGUGGAAUUCGACACAAUUAAGUCUAGCCCAUGCCGCG